Molecule: ribosomal RNA, 1177 nt
Filed under: Enterococcus faecalis
Lineage: Bacteria; Bacillati; Bacillota; Bacilli; Lactobacillales; Enterococcaceae
Description: bacterial SSU rRNA
Rfam family: Bacterial small subunit ribosomal RNA
Source: RNAcentral
AACAUGCAAGUCGAAACGCUUCUUUCCUCUCGAGUGCUUGCACUCACUUGGAAAGAGGAGUGGCGGACGGGUGAGUAACACGUGGGUAACCUACCCAUCAGAGGGGGAUAACACUUGGAAACAGGUGCUAAUACCGCAUAACAGUUUAUGCCGCAUGGCAUAAGAGUGAAAGGCGCUUUCGGGUGUCUGCUGAUGGAUGGACCCGCGGUGCAUUAGCUAGUUGGUGAGGUAACGGCUCACCAAGGCCACGAUGCAUAGCCCACCUGAGAGGGUGAUCGGCCACACUGGGACUGAGACACGGCCCACACUCCUACGGGAGGCAGCAGUAGGGAAUCUUCGGCAAUGGACGAAAGUCUGACCGAGCAACGCCGCGUGAGUGAAGAAGGUUUUCGGAUCGUAAAACUCUUGUGUUAGAGAAGAACAAGGACGAUAGUAACUGAACGUCCCCUGACGGUUUCUAACCAGAAAGCCACGGUUAACUACGUGCCAGCAGCCGCGGUAAUACUUAGGUGGCAAGCGUUGUCCGGAUUUAUUGGGCGUAAAGCGAGCGCAGGCGGUUUCUUAAGUCUGAUGUGAAAGCCCCCGGCUCAACCGGGGAGGGUCAUUGGAAACUGGGAGACUUGAGUGCAGAAAAGGAAAGUGGAAUUCCAUGUGUAGCGGUGAAAUGCGUAGAUUUUGGAGGAACACCAGUGGCGAAGGCGGUUCUCUGGUCUGUAACUGACGCUGAGGCUCGAAAGCGUGGGGAGCAAACAGGAUUAGAUACCCUGGUAGUCCACGCCGUAAACGAUGAGUGCUAAGUGUUGGAGGGUUUCCGCCCUUCAGUGCUGCAGCAAACGCAUUAAGCACUCCGCCUGGGGAGUACGACCGCAAGGUUGAAACUCAAAGGAAUUGACGGGGCCCGCACAAGCGGUGGAGCAUGUGGUUUAAUUCGAAGCAACGCGAAGAACCUUACCAGGUCUUGACAUCCUUUUUGACCACUCUAGAGAUAGAGCUUUCCCCUCGGGGACAAAGUGACAGGUGUGCAUGGUUGUCGUCAGCUCGUGUCGUGAGAUGUUGGGUUAAGUCCCCGCAACGAGCGCAACCUUAUUGUUAGUUGCCAUCAUUAGUUGGGGCACUCUAGCGAGACUGCCGGUGACAAACCGGAGGGAAGGUGGGAUGACGUCAAAAUCAUCAUGCC